RNAcentral lists this ribosomal RNA (251 nucleotides) under uncultured bacterium. RNAcentral describes it as "partial small subunit ribosomal RNA". It matches the Rfam family "Bacterial small subunit ribosomal RNA", at positions 26 to 285 of the family's 1533-position model. The record is from RNAcentral.
AGAAUAAACGUUGGCGGCGUGCUUAACACAUGCAAGUCGAGCGAGAAAGGUCUUCGGAUUGAGUACAGCGGCAAACGGGUGAGUAACACGUGGGAAUCUACCUUUAAGUGGAGAAUACCCUCGAGAAAUCGAGGUUAAUACUGCAUACGUCUCGAAAGAGAGAAAGAUGGCCUCUUUGCUAUCGCUGAAAGAUGAGCCUGCGGACUAUUAGCUAGUUGGUAGGUAAUGGCCUACCAAGGCGAUGAUGGUUA